Molecule: transfer RNA, 69 nt
Filed under: Platyplectrum melanopyga (Wokan cannibal frog)
Lineage: Eukaryota; Metazoa; Chordata; Amphibia; Anura; Limnodynastidae
Description: tRNA-Thr
Rfam family: tRNA
About the family: Transfer RNA (tRNA) molecules are approximately 80 nucleotides in length. Their secondary structure includes four short double-helical elements and three loops (D, anti-codon, and T loops). Further hydrogen bonds mediate the characteristic L-shaped molecular structure. tRNAs have two regions of fundamental functional importance: the anti-codon, which is responsible for specific mRNA codon recognition, and the 3' end, to which the tRNAs corresponding amino acid is attached (by aminoacyl-tRNA synthetases). tRNAs cope with the degeneracy of the genetic code in two manners: having more than one tRNA (with a specific anti-codon) for a particular amino acid; and 'wobble' base-pairing, i.e. permitting non-standard base-pairing at the 3rd anti-codon position.
Source: RNAcentral
GCCCCGAUAGCUUAACUAAAGCAUUGGUCUUGUAAACCAAAGAUUGAGUGCUAACGCCCUCUCGGGGCU